GAAAAGGAAACGCAAACUGAAAAAGUACCCUAAUGAAAAAUUGGAAGAUGGUGAUGAAGCGCGCGUAAAGAAAAAGAAAGAAAUGGGCUUAAUACUUUAGCAUCUUGGUGGAACAAGUGCAGGAGAUUCCUGGGAAUUCAGCAGAUGGUGGUGUUGGCGCUGCUUGGCGAGGCACCUGUGGGAAAGGCUUCUGAAAUGCCAGCACAGUCUACAGAGGAGGCCCUUCAUUCAAGCACCACUUGUCAGCCCACAAACUUCACAAUCCCACAUGACAGACAUCACUAGGGAUGGACACUCUGGACUUCAUCCCCCAUCGACACACGACAAAGACAUCUGGACGAUUGUCACGGACGUCACGGUCCCUGAUAGUUGACGUCUCCCAUGGGGCAUUGGCAGGAAGAAGAAGGAAAGUCAGUCUUGCAUGAUUUUGAACAUUAGGUGAUAAUUGACAUGCAUGAUGUAGUUUUUUUGAACGAUUUCAGGUUAAUAGUGAAAUGGAAAUAUACUUACUGUUGGUCUUCAAAGAAUGCAACUGUUGUGUUAUUCAGAUGUCAGGCUACUGCAUUAUACACAUCAGAUCACAUCAUUGUCUAACAGUAUGGCAAGAGAAACCUGUGAGGAAAUUUACAUCCACAGCUUCUUGAUUGUCUUUGUGUAGCUCAUACAGUAAUAUAAUAAAUCAAUGAGCUAAAGGUUGGUAAACUAAAGAUUUACCAUUAUAGCCUUUUUUCAGUUAAUGUAAUUUUAUGCUUAUAUCCAAGAGCAUGCACGACUU
Long non-coding RNA from Pangasianodon hypophthalmus (striped catfish), 775 nucleotides. RefSeq lists it as uncharacterized. The transcript is spliced from 4 exons. The record is from RefSeq and is a predicted model, not a curated record. NCBI's taxonomy places the organism in Eukaryota, Metazoa, Chordata, Actinopteri, Siluriformes, Pangasiidae.